AAGAAAACAACACAAAGCAAGCCCGGUCGCCCCCGUCCGCAGUCCCGCACUCCCGCAGCACGCAGGCGGCUGGCGGCCGUCGUCGUCGUCGCCUAGAUCUCCCCUCCGGCGCGCGUGGCGCCGUCACACCCGUCCCGUUGCCGUCCCUCCCCUGCCCCUUCCGCCACCUUCCAAUCCUCUCCAGUCUCGGCCUCUGCCCUUCGCGGCCGUAGGACUCGCCUCCUCCCUCCCCAUUCCGUGCCCCCGCCGCCCCGACGACACCAUCCGCCCAGCGCCGAGCGUGUGCGCUGCCCGGGCCAGCGGCGCCCACGGCCGCCACUGCCUCUCGGCGGCGGCCCGCCGCGUUAUCAUGUGCAGUUUGAAGUAUGAUCAUUGAGGUUGUGGGCUUGUGGCUAAAGAAGCUGCUAGGAUCGAUUGGCUGUCAUAAUGGACAAGAUACAAUCUGAUUGCCCUUAUCCUGGAUGUUUCUUUUGUGUUAUGAAGGAGGCAAACCCUAGUAAACGAAAGGCAAGUGUGCUAAAGUUCUUUAGGGAACUUCCUUCCCAAGAUGACGACGGUCAAGUUCUCCCUAUUAGCGGUCUCUGGAAUACAGCGAUGGCUCAUCCAAAUGAUCCUGAGUUCAUCAACUUGGGCAUAUUUGAAUGCAUGGCAUCUCUUAUAUGGAAGGGAUUGAAAAACAGGCGUUGGCUUGCACAUGAUCAGAAUAUUUACAUCCCAUAUUAUGCAGCUCACAUAAUUGGAUCAUAUACAAUGAAUAUGGAGGAAUUUGCUGAGUGUGCUGUUCGUGCUGGUGUAAUACCUCCAUUAGUCGAACUGUUAAGAGGUAGGCUGAUGUGGGUGGAACAAAGGGUUGCUGUUAGAGCUUUGGGGCAUUUGGCUACAUAUCCUAGCACAUUUCCUGCAGUUGCUGAUCAUGGGGAAGUACUUGAACUUGCCAUUCAACUUGCUUCGAGCUCCCUAGAGAUUGUGUACUCUCACUUUUACCAAUUUGCGGAUCAAAGACUUGGUUACCAUUGUGACCUUCUUACUCGUGGCAUGGGUGGUGUGGAAAUGGAAUCCCGCAAAGCUGAGGAAUGGGCAAGUCAGGUGCUGUGCUGGUCUUUGCAACUCAUUAACUGCUUUGCAUUUAAGCCUGAAUUCCUCCAUGAUAUUUGCAAGGCUGAUUUUCUAGUCAAGUUACCUGGAAUGUGGGGUGGGCUUGUGAAUGAGAACUCACCUGCUGGUGUUGGUUUGCUAAGAACAAUCUGCCAGAGCAAGGUUGGCCGAGGUCAUGUUGCUAACAUUCCUGGUACUAUUGAUGCUUUAUGCAAUAUCGCUCGUUCUUCAGAUGACUGGCAAUACAUGGCAGUUGAUUGUCUGAUGUGGUUAGUGCAGGAUGCUAGUACUUGUCAUAAGGUUAUAGAUAAAGUUGCACCAACACUGAUAGAUUUAGCAGAUAUUUCGACACUGGGUGAUUACAAAAAGCUUGGCGACACAAUUGUCACAGUCCUCCAAGAAUGUAUGCAACAGACUGGAAACUCACGCGGCAGAAUUAGUACUCAGACCAAGGAAGCAAUUGAUGAGCUCUUGAGAUGCAAGCAAAGUUUGAAAUUGGAAAAGAGUAUGCCGAAGGAGGAUCUUUAUAUAAAACAAGCUGCAGCAUUGGUCGUGAAGUUGGAAGGAAAUUCCCUGUUCUCUUCUGGGAAUAUAGCAGGUGCUGCAGAGAAAUACUCAGAAGCACUUGCGUUAUGUCCAGUGAAGUGUAAGAAAGAGCGGGUGGUGCUUUACAGCAACCGAGCUCAGUGUUAUCUUCUCCUGCAACAGCCAUUGGCUGCCAUAAGCGAUGCUAGUCGAGCAUUGUGCCUUCAUAGUCCUGUGAAUCGUCAUGCCAAGAGUUUGUGGAGAAGAGCUCAAGCAUAUGAUAUGCUUGGUUUUGCAAAAGAGAGCUUGUUGGAUGCAAUUCUUUUCAUAAACGAAUGCUCUCAGUCAAGCGAUCCUGACUUAUCCCUGAAGCAGAACAAAGUUCCUGAUUAUGCUGAGCAAUUGGUGAAGAAGCAGAUGCGUGUCACUUGGCUAUUCAGGGAAGCAGCUCUGAAGCAUGGAGGUGUACAUUGUGAAGGAAAUGCUAGUAAUGCUUUUGGUCAGGAGGCUGAUGACUCUGAGUGGGAAACAGCUAGUGAAAGCGAUGCUGAGAAUGAUGCCAGGAGAGAAGCAGAUGAUGAAACUGAAUGGAAGAAUCAUGGCCUAUCACUACCAGGACGAUUUCUUUGAGAAAAGCUGAGGAACAGGCAUGGAUUAUUUACAUGGUAUAGCUUUGCAACAAGAAAUGCUGAACCUGUAUUUGGAAGGUGUUGCACUGAGCAGCUACAGAUGCAGCUGCUGGGCCUUGUGCACUAUCGAGCAUCAAUGCUUUCAAAAGGAACGAUCUGGUGUCAUUUUUAUUGUCCUCAUCAGAAGGCGGCUCAAUUGAAUUCAUUUCCCUCAUCGUGUUGUUGGGUCAGUUAAAGUUGCACCUGUGACCGUUCAGUUUGCUCUUCUCAUGUGUCAGUCCUGUGUUUGUGUUUGAUGUUUGUAGAAUAUGUUUCACCAGUUUGUCAACUCUUUUUUUUUUCUGACUUUUGAAGUUUUGCGAAGAGGCCAUAAUCCUGGCACUCUUCCCUUUCCAUUGGGCUUAUCUGUAAUCUGUAGGGAGGUGUACUUGGAUUUUGGUAUACCAUGUCAGUUGUUACCUGAUAUAACAAGUAGGGGUUUAUAGAUUGGUUCAUGCUCUUAUGUCAAAAUUAGUGCGCUAGGGUCUUGCUCUGCUUGCCUGUUGGAACCUUUUGAAGGUGUUGUUGGGACGCAAAAUGCUAACAAAUGUGUGCUUCCAACAAGCACAUCAAUGUUUCAUAUAAUAUAUAACAAGAUUCUACUGAA
Molecule: RNA transcript, 2895 nt
Organism: Setaria italica (foxtail millet)
Lineage: Eukaryota; Viridiplantae; Streptophyta; Magnoliopsida; Poales; Poaceae
Exons: 4
Source: RefSeq, a predicted model, not a curated record